RNAcentral lists this ribosomal RNA (184 nucleotides) under Penicillium antarcticum. RNAcentral's name for it is "partial 28S ribosomal RNA". It matches the Rfam family "Eukaryotic large subunit ribosomal RNA", at positions 1 to 183 of the family's 3401-position model. The record is from RNAcentral. Lineage: Eukaryota; Fungi; Ascomycota; Eurotiomycetes; Eurotiales; Aspergillaceae.
UUGACCUCGGAUCAGGUAGGGAUACCCGCUGAACUUAAGCAUAUCAAUAAGCGGAGGAAAAGAAACCAACAGGGAUUGCCUCAGUAACGGCGAGUGAAGCGGCAAGAGCUCAAAUUUGAAAGCUGGCUCCUUCGGGGUCCGCAUUGUAAUUUGCAGAGGAUACUUCGGGAGCGGUCCCCAUCUA